This 80-nucleotide ribosomal RNA is filed under the name Klebsiella pneumoniae. RNAcentral's name for it is "partial 16S ribosomal RNA". It matches the Rfam family "Bacterial small subunit ribosomal RNA", at positions 1454 to 1533 of the family's 1533-position model. The record is from RNAcentral. Lineage: Bacteria; Pseudomonadati; Pseudomonadota; Gammaproteobacteria; Enterobacterales; Enterobacteriaceae.
AGUGCACUUUGUGAUUCAUGACUGGGGUGAAGUCGUAACAAGGUAACCGUAGGGGAACCUGCGGUUGGAUCACCUCCUUA